Long non-coding RNA from Oncorhynchus gorbuscha (pink salmon), 2543 nucleotides. RefSeq lists it as uncharacterized. The record is from RefSeq and is a predicted model, not a curated record. The transcript is spliced from 2 exons. Lineage: Eukaryota; Metazoa; Chordata; Actinopteri; Salmoniformes; Salmonidae.
GGGUGGAUACUUUGAAGAAUCUGAAAUAUAUUUUGAUUUAACACUUUGUUGGUUACUACAUGUGUUUUUUUUUCAUUGUUUUGAUUUCUUCACAAUUAUUCUACAAUGUAUAAAAUAGUAAUACAUUUUUCUUUUAAAUGAGAACCUUGAAUGAGUAGGUGUUAUAACAUUUUUGACCGAUACUGUAUAUGUCUACUUCAUCACAGCACUCGUGCUUUCUCCGUUUUAGAGACAUUGUCUUGCAAGCACUGUGACUCAUUUAAAAGCCUUUUAACUAACGUCCUGUGGUUUUUGACCCGAACAAAACAAUUACGUCACUGUCUGAAAGUAGCCAAUGUACUUAUGGUGAUCGAGUCUUCUGUUAACAGUAACAAGGCCUUCUAGAUGUAGGCUGUAUCAUUGGAGAUGUAUAUUUAGAGAAACGUACAGCAAUAGUAUACAGGUCGUGUCUCUCGAGGUUUGCCUGACCACCUACUUCACCAGCUUGUUUGUGUGUGUGUGCUCACGAUCUGCUGUAAAGUCUGUAACAACGGAUCGGUGAGCGAAACUCGUUCCGUUUCAACGUGUGUUUGUGCGUGUGUACACUGUUCAUGUUCAAAAACAAUCAACGUUCUUGUAAAGAUGGACUUUUGGUAGGCCAGGUUGGUAGGCCAGGUUGGUAGGCCAGGUUGGUAGGCCAGGUUGGUAGGCCAGGUUGGUAGGCCAGGUUGGUUGGCCAGGUUGGUUGGCCAGGUUGGUUGGCCAGGUUGGUUGGCCAUCUUCUGAUUUUGAUCCAAAUAUAAAACAAGUGAUUAUUUCUCUGACACAAUAACAUGUGGCUGAAGAAGACGAUCAACGAUCAAUAGUUUGAUCCCAGUGUGUUACAGUGGGACGAUAUGCUCUUCCAGGAAGAACUAUGACGCUGAAGCUUGAAUAUGUUUUUAAUGAACAAGUAUUACAGGCCUCUCUCAUCAUGUUCCCGUUUAACAGUCAAAUGCAUGUAAUAAAAGGGAACAAAAAAGUGCCAAGUUUCCUCUAAAAAUACAAUCGUAACAGAUGGGAUGCUUCUGCCCCCCCCUUCCCAACCACCACCUACCUGUUUCUUCAGCCAUUGAUGUUAAUGUAAACAGUGUAACAUUGACAAUAUCUUUUUUAUUAUUGUAUAAAGUUUCCCCGUUUUUGUUUUAUUUUAUGAUAAAGAAAUAAGGUCAUUACUGCCUUUGCUGCCUACUUUGGCGCCGGGAGUCGAUUUACAAAAGGUCAGUUGCUGUCGGUCCAGCAAACAGUUGUUUUUAUGUUUUUAAUUCAUUCAAGAAAUGGGUGCGAUCAACCUGAAUUGAGUAGUUUGCAGCAUGGAACCAACAUGAGCUUUGUCACCUAUCACCUUACUAUGGAAUUACACAACAACGAGAAAAGCUACAUGGCCUUUUCCAAACCCUUCACUCUAUUGUCAUGUCAAUAAGGUGGUCGCUGAAUCUUUUUGGGGUUUGCUCGGUGUUUUCAGGAUGUCAGCUGGGAGAAGUGAGUUCGGGAAACGCCUGCCUGAAUCGUUCUCCAGUCAGCUGUCUUUCUGCUUUGGGGUUUUUGGUUUCUAAUAUCCCAUAACUCUUUUCAACAAUGGGACCAGCUAUGCUAGUUAGCAACGGCACUAGUCCAAUUAAGUUGUUUGUUUUCACGGUCAAGAAAAGCAUCAGUUCUCACGUUUUACUCAACAAGGAGAAGGCAGUUCUCUCUUACAGGGGUGGAAUGUUGUUACAUGCCUUUUUAGAAUCUGGACAAACGAUUAACCUGGUAAAAUACUCUCUUAACCUUGUGUGAAGCUUUUUGCAAAUACUGUGUACAUACUGUACUUGCAAUCGGUUUUAAUUUUGUCAGUCGUAUUUUUUGUUUUCUUCCAAAAGCAGCUGUUUUUUGGGGGGGGGGGUUAAUGAGCUCUGAACAACGUAUGUAUGUAUCCUCUAAUAUGCCAAAUGUCUUUUUAUAACAUAGAUUUGUCAUGCACUGCUAAACAGGACAGAGCGAGAAGCAGCUUUAAAUAAAUGAAAAGCCGUGUUGGAGGAGCCCUUCUCUGACACACUCUGCCUUGAAUACUCCUCGAGACGAUUGGCUGGCUGCAUUAUGGAGUAGUAAUGUUUCCCUCUCCUCUGUGUCUCUCUGCACCUACGUUUUGACUUCACUCUCUUAGCUCUGCACGCUUAACUUCGCUGCAGUCCCAUUUCUUAUCUUGUCCCCCUCGCGCAUCCUUUCACACACACUCUGUCUCCACCUUUCUCUCUGUCUCUGUGUGUAAUGUUCCAUUAAUGGUAAACACAGAGGGGUCAGCCAGUGGUAGUAUACUCAGCGAUCGAAGGGUUUGCUGAUGGUAGAAAUCUGUGCAGUUUGUAACAUUUUUAGCAAUAACGUGAAACAAGGGGACUGUUUUUUUGAUAACAUUAUGAUUGGUUGUUUUUUUUUUUUUGUACAUAUUGAAAUUCCAUGUCAUUUAAAGGAAAAAAAACAAGAAAAAAGUUGCUAUAUUGGCAUAUAAAAAAAACAAACACAAGAAAUAAAAAAAGUGACAAUUA